GCGCCCUUAGCUCAAUGGAUAGAGCAGCGGCCUUCUAAGCCGUAGAUAUAGGUUCGAUUCCUAUAGGGCGUACCA
This 75-nucleotide transfer RNA is filed under the name Pectobacterium phage DU_PP_V. Its description in RNAcentral is "tRNA-Arg". It matches the Rfam family "tRNA". From Rfam's summary of the family: Transfer RNA (tRNA) molecules are approximately 80 nucleotides in length. Their secondary structure includes four short double-helical elements and three loops (D, anti-codon, and T loops). Further hydrogen bonds mediate the characteristic L-shaped molecular structure. tRNAs have two regions of fundamental functional importance: the anti-codon, which is responsible for specific mRNA codon recognition, and the 3' end, to which the tRNAs corresponding amino acid is attached (by aminoacyl-tRNA synthetases). tRNAs cope with the degeneracy of the genetic code in two manners: having more than one tRNA (with a specific anti-codon) for a particular amino acid; and 'wobble' base-pairing, i.e. permitting non-standard base-pairing at the 3rd anti-codon position. Lineage: Duplodnaviria; Heunggongvirae; Uroviricota; Caudoviricetes; Demerecviridae. The record is from RNAcentral.